Long non-coding RNA from Homo sapiens (human), 1784 nucleotides. Ensembl annotates it as CCDC26 long non-coding RNA. Its record names the gene CCDC26. Lineage: Eukaryota; Metazoa; Chordata; Mammalia; Primates; Hominidae. The record is from Ensembl.
ACUGGGCUUAGAGUCACAUAAGAGACAGAGCAAGUAAAAUAUUACGCUACAGUGCUACUGGCCCAUAAUCAGGCAACUGCAGAGUCUUAGGGGGUUAUCUAAUGUAGUCUUGGGGUGGCUGGAUAGACUUCCCAAAGAAGGUGAUGCCGAAGCUGAGGUCGGAAAUUACGAAGAUCAGCUAUGUAAGUUAAAGGGUGAGGGGAAAGGGAGCCCAAUGAGAGGGAGAGAGGGAAAAAACAGGGAGCGUGCACGUGCACGUGAGAGAGACAGAGACAGAGAGAGAGAAUAUAUGAGAAAGUGAAGAAGAGAAAAUGGGAGAGGGAGAGAAAACAUACAAUUAUGUAUGUCUGGAGCACACCAUAUUAAAGGAGGGAGUGGCAGAAAACGUGAGGUGGGAAUCAAAUCAUGCUGGGCUUUUUGGCCAGGAAGGCCUGAGGAGAGAAGACACAUAGUCAUGCUGACUAAACCAGAUCACCUAGAAUUACCAAAUGGAAAGAUUGUGCCUGCAGCCUGGCCUGUUGCCCACAGCGGUCUACCUGCCACACUGGGAAAGAUCGAGCAGAGACAGAGAAGAAAAGGAGGCUCCAUUUUUCAGGCUGCUCUCCCGCAGGCUCAUGUUUUGUGUUCAUGCCAGGCAGAGAACACAAAAUGUUCCAAUAAAUAAGUAUCAAAGGUUAGUGGUGAAAAUGAAGGAGGAGGAGGCAUUGCGUGAAAAACUAAACAUGCAAAAUAUUACACACAAAGAGAACCAAAAUGCAGGUUCACUGGAAAUGAUAGACAAUAUGUUAAAACAAGAGGAGAGAAGAGAGCUGAAAUAAUCAAAUGGAAACACACAAUUUAGGGCUAAGAUCUUGUUGUGUUCAGCCACAAAUGAUGGCCAGCAGUGAGGAAUCUGUGUGUUCUCCACACUCUUCGCUCCUGGGAAGUCAACUCACAUGGACCAUGAUAUCAAUAUCUGCUCCUUCCCCUAAUAUCUGUUUGACCUUGGGUCAGUUACUUAAACUUCCUAAGCCUUAGUUUCUUUGUCUGGAAAAUAGGGAUAGUUAUACCUACCACACAACCACUUUGUAAUGAAUAUGUUGGAAAUUAUAUGCAAAUUGGCUUCCGUUGGUGUUUGGAACAUAGUAGGUUUUUAACUGGAAUAUAAUAGCUACCAUUAUCAGUAUCAUCAUAUUAAUUUAUAUUUCCAUCUUCAGCCCUUAACCCAGGAUCUUCAGUAAAUGUUGAAUUCUCAAAUUUGUUAAAUUCACUUGUCUAUACUAAUAUUUUACUCUAGGUUUCUUAGAAUAUUCUAGAUAAUAUUAUUAUGUAGAAUAUGUUAUGUAAGCUUCAUCUUAUCUGUAAAUAUAGUUUUACUUUUUCCUUUCUAAUUUUUAUGUCGAUUACUUCUUUUUCUUGGCUUAUUGAAUUGGCUAGGAUUCCCGUACAGUGUUGAAUACGUGCAGCAAGACUGCACAUCUUGCCUUGUUCCUGGUCCCACAGAGAGAAUAUCCAGUACUUCACAAUAAGUAUGUGUUAAUUGUAGAUUUUAUUAGAUUGAGGAAGUUCCCUUUCCUUUCAAGUCAGUCUUUUUAUUUUAAACAUGUAUUGAAGUUUUGUCAAAUGUCUUCAUCUAUUGGAAUAAUUAUACAUAUCUCUUUUUUAUUCUGUUAAUAUUACAUUUCAAUCUUCUGUCUACCUAAAAUCCCUAGAAUAAUCUCCAUUUGGCUAUGAUGUGUUGUGCUUUUAUAUAUUACUGAAUUCUAUAUGCCAAUAUUAUUAAAAUUUUCUGUCUUUAUGAGAAA